This 439-nucleotide ribosomal RNA is filed under the name uncultured bacterium. Its description in RNAcentral is "partial 16S ribosomal RNA". It matches the Rfam family "Bacterial small subunit ribosomal RNA", at positions 338 to 795 of the family's 1533-position model. The record is from RNAcentral.
CCUACGGGAGGCAGCAGUAGGGAAUAUUGCUCAAUGGGGGAAACCCUGAAGCAGCAACGCCGCGUGGAGGAUGAAGGUUUUCGGAUUGUAACUCCUUUUGUUAGAGAAGAUAAUGACGUUAUCUAACGAAUAAGCACCGGCUAACUCCGUGCCAGCAGCGGCGGUAAUACGGAGGGUGCAAGCGUUACUCGGAAUCACUGGGCGUAAAGAGCGCGUAGGCGGGAUAGCAAGUCAGAUGUGAAAUCCUAUGGGUUAACCAUAGAACUGCAUUUGAAAAUGUUAUUCUAGAGUAUGGGAGAGGUAGGUGGAAUGCUUGGUGUAGCGGUGAAAUGCGUAGAGAUCAAGAAGAAUACUCAUUGCGAAGGCGGCCUACUAGAACAUAACUGACGCUGAGGCGCGAAAGCGUGGGGAGCAAACAGGAUUAGAUACCCUUGUAGUC